GCCUAAAGCGUCCGUAGCCGGCUUUGUAAGUUUUCGGUUAAAUCUAUAUGCUCAACAUAUAGGCUGCCGGGAAUACUGCAAAGCUAGGGAGUGGGAGAGGUAGACGGUACUCCGUAGGAAGGGGUAAAAUCCUUUGAUCUAUGGAUGACCACCUGUGGCGAAGGCGGUCUACCAGAACACGUCUGACGGUGAGGGAUGAAAGCUGGGGGAGCAAACCGGAUUAGAUACCCGGGUAGUCCCAGCUGUAAACUAUGCAAACUCAGUGAUGCAUUGGCUUGUGGCCAGUGCAGUGCCGCAGAGAAGUCGUUAAGUUUGCCGCCUGGGAAGUACGUACGCAAGUAUGAAACUUAAAGGAAUUGGCGGGGGAGCACCACAAGGGGUGAAGCCUGCGGUUCAAUUGGAGUCAACGCCAGAAAUCUUACCCGAAGAGACAGCAGGAUGAAGGUCAAGCUGAAGACUUUACCAGACAAGCUGAGAAGUGGUGCAUGGCCGUCGCCAGCUCGUGCCGUGAGGUGUCCUGUUAAGUCAGGUAACGAGCGAGAUCCUUGCCUCUAGUUGCUACCAUUACUCUCAGGAGUAGUGGGGCGAAUUAGCGGGACUGCCGUAGUUAAUACGGAGGAAGGAGAGGGCCACGGCAGGUCAGUAUGCCCCGAA
This 654-nucleotide ribosomal RNA is filed under the name uncultured archaeon. RNAcentral describes it as "bacterial SSU rRNA". It matches the Rfam family "Archaeal small subunit ribosomal RNA", at positions 508 to 1160 of the family's 1478-position model. The record is from RNAcentral.